GUAAUCGCCGGCCAGUCACCGCUAAAUCCACAACGUGGGCUGCCAAAGAUCAAAGAUGCCUGACAACUUGGCGGCAACUUGGGAUUUCCAGAGGCUUUCGAAGCUCUCAAAUAUUGGCUAUAAAAUGAGACAUUUCAUUGGCCAUCAAAACCCAAAUUAAAAUUAAAGAGUCUGCAAAUCCAUACAUUUAUACUAACCUUCAAUAUGGCUGAAGAAUCUGCUCCAAGAAAAACUGAAUGGCCAGAGCUUGUCUUUGUAAAAUAUUCUAUUGCUGCUGCGAUCAUAGAAAAAGAGAAUCCUGAUGUGGAAGCUGUCAAGAUUCUAUCUGGUACACCUAGAAUUCUGAAUUUUGAUAUCAAUCGAGUUUGGGUUGAUAUCAAUGUGGAAGAAGUAGUCGUGAAAAAGCCCAAGGUUGGUUAGAGACUGGAUGAUGUAUAAGGUUAAUCAUAUGUCAAAUGCUUAUUUAUGUCCAUCAUCAAUUGUACUAAUAAGUGGUAUUUCUACCAUUUCAACUCAUCGUUCCAAUAUUGUUAUUAUUAUUAAUUGUGCUGAUAUGUAAUAAAUUGUCAAAUUAAUUGUUACCAUCAUUGUCAACAAAGAUCAAUUCUUAGA
Cucumis sativus (cucumber) is the source of this 612-nucleotide long non-coding RNA. RefSeq lists it as uncharacterized. Lineage: Eukaryota; Viridiplantae; Streptophyta; Magnoliopsida; Cucurbitales; Cucurbitaceae. The record is from RefSeq and is a predicted model, not a curated record. The transcript has 2 exons.